UUUGAUAGUGAGUUUGGAGCAAAAGUUGUGCCUCCAAAGAGGAUAUUAAAGAUGUUGCCUGAGCUAUUUGACCAUCAAGAUCAAAAUGUUCGUGCAUCUUCUAAAGGACUUACUCUUGAGCUUUGUCGAUGGAUUGGAAAGGACCCUGUAAAAUCAAUAUUAUUUGAGAAAAUGAGGGAUACAAUGAAAAAAGAAUUGGAAGCCGAGCUUGUAAAUGUAACAGGGGCAGCUAGGCCAUGUCGCAAAAUAAGGUGAAAAUUCAUUUUUUUCAUUAGCUGUUUGAUCUGCUUGCUGUUUUUAUUUUUCUUAACCUAGUUGGUAUUGAUGUAUUCAGGUCUGAGCAAGACAAGGAGCCAGAAAAGGAGGUUGUAUCUGAAGUUGUGGGUGCUGGCCCAUAUGAGGAAUCUACAUCUGAUGCUCCUCAGGAAAUAGAUGAGUAUGAGCUCGUUGAUCCUGUUGAUAUAUUGGCUCCUUUGGAGAAGUCUGGAUUUUGGGAUGGAGUGAAAGCAACCAAGUGGUCAGAACGGAAAGAGGUUGUUGCAGAGCUAACCAAGCUUGCUUCAACAAAAAGAAUAGCACCCGGUGAUUUCUCAUAAAUCUGUCGGACACUAAAAAAAUGUACAUUGUCUUUUUAUUUUUGGGUAUUUCGUUUGCAUCGUUUAUACCUCUAUCUAUUGCCAAGGAUCUUUUUAAUAUUGCAUAGUUAAGUGUUCAAUCUGCUCCAUUAAGUUUUAACUUCAUGCUUUAUAUUCUUACUUCUGUUAUAAGUUUAUACUUGCUUUUUGAGUUGAUGAAUAAAAAUCAUUUAAUUCUUUUUCUGUAUAGCUCAUAACAGAUGUUAAUAUCGCUGUAGCAGUCGAGGCAAUUCAAGCUAUUGGCAAUCUUGCUCGAGGUUUAAGAACUAAUUUCUCUUCAAGUUCACGCUUCCUAUUGCCAGUUUUGCUGGUAUGUUCAUUUUUUGCUAGCUAAAAAAAUAAUAUUAUAUCAACUUAAAAUGCAAACAGACUGUUUGAAUGUAACCAAGCUGUUCAAGUGUUCAUUUACUUUUUGCCAGUUACUUACAACUGAGCAUGGUGGUAUUUUUUUUUUGGAUUUUGACUUGUACAUUCAUUUUUCUUAUUAAUAAAAGUGCACUUAGUCAUACGAGUAGAUUCUUUUUUAGAAGUUCAAAUGAUGUUGAUCGUAGCUUUGAUUUGUAUAUAAAGUGAUUUUUUUAUUCAA
Long non-coding RNA from Humulus lupulus (European hop), 1221 nucleotides. RefSeq lists it as uncharacterized. NCBI's taxonomy places the organism in Eukaryota, Viridiplantae, Streptophyta, Magnoliopsida, Rosales, Cannabaceae. The transcript is spliced from 4 exons. The record is from RefSeq and is a predicted model, not a curated record.